GAUGAACGCUGGCGGCGUGCCUAAUAAAUGCAAGUCGAGCGAACAGAAGAGGAGCUUGCUCCUCUGACGUUAGCGGCGGACGGGUGAGUAACACGUGGAUAACCUACCUAUAAGACUGGGAUAACUUCGGGAAACCGGAGCUAAUACCGGAUAAUAUAUUGAACCGAAUGGUUCAAUAGAGAAAGACGGCUUUGCUGUCACUUAUAGAUGAAACCGCGACGCAGUAGCUAGUUGGUAAGGUAACGGCUUAACAAGGAAACGAUGCGUAGCCGAACUGAGAGGGUCAUCGUCCACACUGGAACUGAGACACGCUCGAGAUUCCUACGGGAAGCCGCAUUCUGAUAUCUUCCAAGAUGGGGGAAUUCAGGAAGGAUAAACGCGCCACGAGCCAUGAUGGCCUUUUGAACGUAAACCAUACUUACUAGGUAAGAACAAUCGUCUAAGUAUCUAGGCACGUAUUGACAGUAACUCAUCAGAAAGCCACGGCUAACUACGUG
Molecule: ribosomal RNA, 497 nt
Filed under: uncultured bacterium
Lineage: Bacteria
Description: partial 16S ribosomal RNA
Rfam family: Bacterial small subunit ribosomal RNA
Source: RNAcentral